GGAAUCUGUAAUUACCACUUAUUGACUCAUGACCAGCUAGAGUCUUUUUGAUUGGGUUAAACGUAUUUUAAUACUUUAAUUUUCUUUCUCUUCCCUUUUCCUUUUUUUCUGUUUCCUCCAUUAUGUUCAUAGGGUGAAUUUAUGGGAAUUAGCUUAACACUUUGUUUGGUUUAGAGGGUACAGAAUAUAGAAGGUCAGGAUAGAACUAUAUAAGAAUGGACCCUCAGAGAUCUUGGAGCUGGGUACAGGACCUGGUGAGACCCUGGGUCUUUGGAUACUCUUCAUACUGUGGGCAUAAGGUGAUAUGUUAUUGAUUAAAUGAGGGAUAUUAUGUUAAGCAGCAAUAUUUUAAAAAGCAGAAGCAUGGGAAUAAGGAUGCAAGUUGAUAUUUAAAAGCUAAAAU
RNAcentral lists this long non-coding RNA (403 nucleotides) under Bos taurus (domestic cattle). Its description in RNAcentral is "long non-coding RNA NONBTAT011539". The record is from RNAcentral. Lineage: Eukaryota; Metazoa; Chordata; Mammalia; Artiodactyla; Bovidae.